GGGGGUAUCUAAGAUGGAUUUGCAACCAAUGUUUUGAGGCCAGCUUGCUGGUACCCAAACAUUGUUAACAUUUUUUAUCUUGGAUAUUCGAGUACGGCUUACGUGCAUUUUUUGUAUUGAUCUAAGUGCAAGUUACGGUCGCAUGCGACACGUGCUUUUCAUUUAGUUCGGUGCAGUUAAUGCUCUCGUACUCUCCCCCCAUGUAAAAGCCGGUCAUCUAUUUGACCCGUCUUGAAACACGGACCAAGGAGUUUAUCGUGUGCGCAAGUUUUUGGGUGUUAAAAACCUAGAAGCGAAAUGAAAGUAAAUGAUUCUUUAGAGUCUGAUGUGCAAUCUUUUUUCAGAAAAGUGCAUCAUGGCCCCAUUCUAACUGUUUACAGUAGGGUGGCGGAAGAGCGUACGCGGUGAGACCCGAAAGAUGGUGAACUAUUCCUGAGCAGGACGAAGCCAGAGGAAACUCUGGUGGAAGUCCGAAGCGGUU
Molecule: ribosomal RNA, 481 nt
Filed under: Meloidogyne hapla
Lineage: Eukaryota; Metazoa; Nematoda; Chromadorea; Rhabditida; Meloidogynidae
Description: partial 28S ribosomal RNA
Rfam family: Eukaryotic large subunit ribosomal RNA
Source: RNAcentral